AGUCGAACGAGAAUCUGCGGAUCGAGGAUUCGUCCAAGUGAAGCAGAGGACAGUGGCGGACGGGUGAGUAACGCGUGAGGAACCUGCCUUUCAGAGGGGGACAACAGUUGGAAACGACUGCUAAUACCGCAUGAUACGUAUUGGGGGCAUCCCUGAGACGUCAAAGAUUUAUCGCUGAAAGAUGGCCUCGCGUCUGAUUAGCUGGUUGGUGAGGUAACGGCCCACCAAGGCGACGAUCAGUAGCCGGACUGAGAGGUUGACCGGCCACAUUGGGACUGAGAUACGGCCCAGACUCCUAUGGGAGGCAGCAGUGGGGAAUAUUGGGCAAUGGGCGCAAGCCUGACCCAGCAACGCCGCGUGAAGGAAGAAGGCUUUCGGGUUGUAAACUUCUUUUAAGAGGGAAGAGCAGAAGACUGUACCUCUAGAAUAAGCCACGGCUAACUACGUGCCAGCAGCCGCGGUAAUACGUAGGUGGCAAGCGUUGUCCGGAUUUACUGGGUGUAAAGGGCGUGCAGCCGGGAAUGCAAGUCAGAUGUGAAAUCCAUGGGCUUAACCCAUGAACUGCAUUUGAAACUGUAUUUCUUGAGUACUGGAGAGGCAAUCGGAAUUCCUAGUGUAGCGGUGAAAUGCGUAGAUAUUAGGAGGAACACCAGUGGCGAAGGCGGAUUGCUGGACAGCAACUGACGGUGAGGCGCGAAAGUGUGGGGAGCAAACAGGAU
Molecule: ribosomal RNA, 719 nt
Filed under: uncultured bacterium
Lineage: Bacteria
Description: bacterial SSU rRNA
Rfam family: Bacterial small subunit ribosomal RNA
Source: RNAcentral